RNAcentral lists this ribosomal RNA (450 nucleotides) under uncultured bacterium. Its description in RNAcentral is "bacterial SSU rRNA". It matches the Rfam family "Bacterial small subunit ribosomal RNA", at positions 329 to 793 of the family's 1533-position model. The record is from RNAcentral.
CGCCAGACUCCUACGGGAGGCAGCAGUGGGGGAUAUUGGACAAUGGGGGAAACCCUGAUCCAGCGACGCCGCGUGAGUGAAGAAGUAUUUCGGUAUGUAAAGCUCUGUCAGCAGGGAAGAAAGAAAUGACGGUACCUGACCAAGAAGCCCCGGCUAACUACGUGCCAGCAGCCGCGGUAAUACGUAGGGGGCAAGCGUUAUCCGGAUUUACUGGGUGUAAAGGGAGCGUAGACGGCAGCACAAGUCUGGAGUGAAAUCCCGGGGCUUAACCCCGGAACUGCUUUGGAAACUGUGCGGCUGGAGUGCAGGAGGGGUAAGCGGAAUUCCUAGUGUAGCGGUGAAAUGCGUAGAUAUUAGGAGGAACACCGGUGGCGAAGGCGGCUUACUGGACUGUAACUGACGUUGAGGCUCGAAAGCGUGGGGAGCAAACAGGAUUAGAUACCCUGGUAU